CGCAGCUCCGCCCCGUGUCCUGACGGCGCGCUGACGGAGCAGGGCCCGGCCCCGGCGCGGGCGGGAGCGCGGGAAGGCUCGAAGUGGAGGCUGGGACGGGCCGUGAGGGAAGAAGAAAAAUGCCGUCAGCACAAAAGCCAAUGCGGUAUGGACACACGGAGGGACACACAGACGUGUGCUUUGAUGACAGCAGCAGCUGCAUCGUAACUUGCGGCAGUGAUGGAGAUGUUAGGAUUUGGGAAAACCUGGAUGAUGAUGAUCCAAAGUCCAUUAAUGUUGGAGAGAGAGCUUAUUCAUGUGCUCUGAAGAAUGGCAGAUUGAUCACAGCAGUAUCAAACAACACUGUUCAGAUACACACGUUUCCUGAAGGAGCUCCAGAUGGCAUCCUUACUCGUUUUACCACGAAUGCAAACCACGUUGUCUUUAAUAGUGAUGGUACCAGAAUUGCUGCUGGAUCUAGUGACUUCAUGGUCAAAGUUGUGGAGGUGGCUGACAGCAGCAAACAGAAAACGUUCCGAGGACAUGAUGCACCUGUUUUAAGCCUGUCUUUUGACCCCAUGGAUAUUUAUCUGGCAUCAGCAAGCUGCGAUGGUUCUGUCAGAGUAUGGAAAGUGGAAGAUCAGACAUGCGUGACAAACUGGCUGCUGCUGCAGAAAUGUAAUGAUGUGAUAAAUGCUAAAUCCAUAUGCAGGCUUGCCUGGCAACCUGGCAGUGCCAAGCUGCUGGCAAUUCCUGUAGACAAAGUUGUUAAACUAUACAGAAGAGAAACCUGGGAUAAUCAAGUUGAUCUAUCAGAUACUUCCAUCACUCAGCCCCUGAAUGUUGUGGUGUGGUCUCCCUGUGGGCAGUACCUGGCAGCUGGAAGUGUGAAUGGGAGUAUAGUGGUGUGGAAGGUGGAAACCCAGGAGUGCAUAGAGAGGAUGAAGCAUGAGAAAAGUUACUCGAUUUGUGGACUGGCAUGGCAUCCCAAAUAUGAGCAAAUAGCUUACACAGAUACUGAAGGAAAUCUGGGCUUGUGGGAGGAUAUCGGUGGUGGAAAGAAACCAAACGACGAGGUUGCCAAUACUGUUACGAAAGACUAUGAAGAUCUCUUUGAUGGAGAUGAUGAUGACUAUUUAAAUGGAGAUAUGAUUGAACCACAAUCUUCCCCAAACACUGGAGCUAAUGAAGAUCAUGGUGAUGAUGAUGACCUUAUGCCAACAUCAGGCCAUCCAAGACGGGCAAUAAUUGAUGAUGAUGAUAACUCAUUAGAUAUUGGAAUGAUAAAAGCUAGUUCCAAUCUACUUGAAAAGGAGGAGGAUGAUGAUGAUGAUCAGAUUGGUGGCUUUCCAGCUUUGCCAACAUCAUCUACACAGCAGCCUUUCUAUGAUGGGCCAAGGCCAACCCCCAGGCAAAAGCCAUUCCAGUCUGGCUCCACUCCUGUGCAUCUCAUGCACCGCUUCAUGGUUUGGAAUUCUGUUGGUAUCAUUCGUUGUUACAACGAUGAACAAGACAACGCUAUUGAUAUAGAAUUCCAUGAUACCUCCAUACAUCAUGCCACACACCUCCCUAACUCCCUGAACCACACCAUGGCCGACCUCUCUACUGAAGCUAUUUUAUUGGCCUGUGAGAGUACAGAGGAACUCGCAAGCAAACUCCACUGCAUUCACUUUAGCUCCUGGGAUGCAAACAAGGAGUGGACAGUAGAUAUGCCAAAGGAUGAAGAUAUUGAAGCUAUCUGUCUAGGUCAGGGCUGGGCUGCUUGUGCCACUAGUGCCUUGCUGGUUCGACUGUUUACAGUUGGAGGAGUUCAGAAAGAGAUAUUCUGUCUCCCAGGUCCAGUGGUGUCUAUGGCAGGGCACGGAGAGCAGCUGAUGAUUAUUUACCACAGAGGUACUGGAUUUGAUGGAGAGCAGUGCCUUGGGGUACAGCUGAUGGAGCUAGGAAAGAAGAAGAAACAAAUUUUGCACGGAGACCCUCUUUCUCUUACACAGAAGUCCUAUUUGGUGUGGGCUGGAUUCUCAGCAGAAGGUACCCCGUGUUACGUGGAUUCUGAGGGAAUUGUGAGGAUGUUGAACCGAGCACUUGGGAACACUUGGAUUCCGGUGUGUAACACACGAGAGCAUUGCAAAGGAAAAUCUGAUCACUACUGGGUCGUUGGCAUCCAUGAAAACCCCCAGCAGCUGAGGUGUAUUCCUUGCAAAGGAGCCCGAUUCCCUCCAACACUUCCACGUCCUGCAGUGGCAAUAUUAUCUUUUACGCUCCCUUACUGCCAAGUUACAACAGAAAAGGGACAGAUGGAGGAGCAAUACUGGCGUUCAGUUGUAUUUCACAACUAUGUGGAUUACUUAUCAAAAAAUGGCUAUGAGCUUGAUGAAAAUGCUAAAAGUCAGCCAGUGAAGGAACAGCAGGAACUUCUGAUGAAAUUGUUUGCUCUUUCUUGUAAACUGGAGCGUGAAUUCCGCUGUGUGGAGCUUGCUGACCUCAUGACACAAAAUGCUGUGAGUUUAGCCAUCAAGUAUGCAUCCCGCUCACGAAGACUCAAUUUAGCUGAGCGACUCAGCGAGGUGGCUGUAGAGAAAGCAAGUGAACUGGCAACAGCCCUGGAGGAUGAGGAGGAGGAGGAGGAUUUCCCAACUCACGUGAAUGCUGGUUACAGCACCUCUGCCACAGAGUGGGGCCGGCUGCCAGGCAGAAGUGCUCAGCAGGACCAAGAGAUGGAAGAGGCUGAGGAAACGGAUGGGUGUGAGGAGGCAGAAGGAGUGCCUGAAGUGCCUAAACAGAGGCCAAAUCCUUUCUCCAAAGCAGUCUCUGCAGCAGAGGUGAUUACUCCUAAGUCUGCUGUAAUUGCAUCAAGCAGCCAAGGACGAGUGAAUCCCUUCAAGGUCUCAUCCAGCAAAAAGGACCCUUUGGUCCCCUCAGCAAAUGUUCUAGACACUAUGAGCAAAUACUCAAAGAAAAUUUCUAGCAGUCGAGCUGUAAACAAGCAGAGCCCUCCAGUUAUAAAGCCUCUGAUUCCUAAGCCAAAGUCCAAGCAGGCUUCAGCAGCGUCCUUCUUCCAGGUACGCACAGCCAGCUGCAGUGAAAAAAGAGUGGGAGAAAGAGAAGAAAAAGCAGGAAAUGAGCCCCCUGUGGUCCAAGUCACUGCACAGGACAACACAGAAAACAAAAGACCAAAGACAGGUUUCCAGAUGUGGCUAGAAGAGAACAGAGCAAACAUUUUAACAGAUAAUCCUGGUCUGAAUGAAUCAGAAGUAAUAAAAGAAGGCAUGAGUCGGUUUAGGAUUCUGUCAACAGAAGAAAGAAUGGUGUGGACUGAGAAAGCAAAAGGUGGAGCAGGAAAUGAUUUCACAGAAGAUAAAAAACGGAAGCGUCCCACAGCUGCUGAAGAUGAGGCGAAAAAGAAUGAGGAGCAAAAAUCAGAGGAGUCAAAUGUAUCCAAAAAGAAGAAGCCUUUAGAUCAAUCAACCAACGUCAGACUGUCAUCUUUUGCAUUCAAGCAGACCUAAAUAAUACCAGCAGAGCUGGUACCUCCUCAGCAUCUGCUUUCUCAGUGCAGUUAUGCAGUGUUUUCAGAAAUGUGCUGCUGCACCCAAAGAGCACUAACAAAAAAGGAGUGCCUUGCUCCAAAUGUUUUUAGAAAGUAUUUUGUGAUGGACUCUUUAGAGAAAUGUUGAAUCCAUUCAUCAGGUCUCUUUGCAAGUUGCUAGUGUAAAGACAGACAGAAGAACUAAUGGACCUGUUACCUAGAAGUGCAGUGCCACAGUUUUGUGCAGCCAUGUGUCUGCACGCUCAUAAUAUUUGGUGCUAAAUAUGGGUGAGUUGUUUUGGGGAGCAUAUGCUAUGUACAAAACUGUCCUGUGGUUUUAGAGCCGUGGCUUCUCUGCCAUUCCUUCUGCCUGCUGCAAACACUUGUAAGAGAAGGACAGUGCAAGGAAUGAGAAGGAGAGGAAGAUGAUGACUUAACAUCUUGAUGGUCAGCUGCAGUGUCAGCAUGUGAGGCAGUCACUGAGAAGCCUGACCCAGGCUGGGACAGCAAACCAGGGCAGAGGGACUGCAUUGACACAGCAGAAAAUCCAGAAGAGUAGUGGGAUAUUCCAACAGUUGUCUGCAUACUUUGAGAAGAAAUGAUGGUAUUGAUGGCUGUACAGGAUGAGUGUUUUAGGCAGCAAGGCAUAUUUCAGCAUUUGGGUUUACUGAAGAACAACAGGAUAGCAGUGGUAAGAAAAACAUCCUGAUAGAAAAUCACUGUGGGCUUAGUGAACUGUGUAAUGUUGUUUUUCUGCUGGACUGGGUAAUUGUGAUGACAGUUUAGAGUCCUCAUCAUGGUCCUGGGAGAUGGGGUGAGUGGGAAUGGACAACGUUUCUUUUUUUCUUCGUAUUCAAACUGAGCUACCUGCCCAGUGUCCUUUUAUGCAGGCCAAAAUACAAGAAGAAAUUAAGUCUCCAGGGCUCCCUCAUGAAGGCUGCAUCGUGUACUUGUGCAAUGCAUUGAUAUCUUGGGCUCAUGACAUUGAAGUCCUUUGCAGGCUCAAAAGGUGAACUGAAAAAUCAGGUAGAUAAGAAAAGAGUCUGGAACUGGCUUAGAAAUGUACUCUGUGUCCCAAAUUAUGAUAGGAAAACAAAACAAAACAUUUUAAUGACUAAGAUGGAAAUCCCUCUUUGAGAAGCAGAAUGUUCAGAUUGGAUGACUGUGGGAAUAUCUGGGCACGUGUCAGUGAAUUAUUUCUAUCUUAUUCCUCCUGAGCAGGAUGCUGACUGGUAGCUUCUGAUGCAGUGGCAUUGUUUUGGAGGGAAAAAGAGUGCUGCUGAUGAAAGAGAAACAGAACCAAGCUGGUCUGUAGAUCCAGCUGUUGGGUCUCUGUUUGCUGUGUCACAUCUUCAAAUUGCACAAAUCCAGCACAGUUCCUGCUCUGCAAUGGAAGCAGGACUUAAUUCCCAGCUGUGGGGCUCUGUGCUCACCCCAAGCCUGCAGUGCAGCAAUGGAAAGCACUGCUGCAUCUCAGCCUGCUCCCCUGCUACUGUCACAGCUCCUUUCCACAUCCCGGGAGCACAAAGCAUCUCCUCUCCCUCACUCUACUUCUGACUGCUGCAUUCUUCCAUUUCAUCAUGUUAUUUGACCUUAAAGACAAUCCCCAUGCCAAAACCUGCUGUCUUGUUUUGCACGUGAGGUAUUCUGUUGUACAUCAACAGAUCAAGUUGUGCAACACGUCCAGCCUUGCAAGACAGAUACAACUGCCAAAAACCAGCAAAAAAGACUCAUAGCAGAGGGUGCAGCCUGCUGGCCUUUCAAAGCAGUGAGCAUCCACCUGAGCUCUGCAGCUGGAGAGCGUGGCAAGCCCUUUAUCUCUGGAGAAGAUCUAUAAAUGGACGACUUGGCGUGCUGGAGCAUUGCAGACCUGUUUGAUUUCAGAGGGAGUGCCAGGCUCACAGGAAGCCAGACAUUUAUUCUGAGAAAAGAACACUUGUACUGUAAAGCAAUAAGGUUUGUGUUCACCUCCCAAAGAGUAUUUUCUUUGGCUUUCCAAGCUUUGUAAUAUAAUUCUGCUGCAAAGGAAAACAAUGGCCCAACUCAUUCGUUUACUUAGAGGCAGGCACCACGCUGAUCUUUACCUGGGCUGUGAAGAGCCA
This is an RNA transcript of Lagopus muta (rock ptarmigan), 5610 nucleotides long. It is a transcript of the gene named WD repeat and HMG-box DNA binding protein 1, with no coding region annotated. Lineage: Eukaryota; Metazoa; Chordata; Aves; Galliformes; Phasianidae. The record is from RefSeq and is a predicted model, not a curated record. The transcript has 28 exons.